Long non-coding RNA from Dendrobium catenatum, 261 nucleotides. RefSeq lists it as uncharacterized. The record is from RefSeq and is a predicted model, not a curated record. The transcript is spliced from 3 exons. NCBI's taxonomy places the organism in Eukaryota, Viridiplantae, Streptophyta, Magnoliopsida, Asparagales, Orchidaceae.
GGAUGCAUCGGAAAUUACUAGUGCUUGUUCUCAUCUUUCAAGCAAUUUUUCUUCAGUCUGGAAGCUGCAUGGGGACAUUCAGCGGCUGUUGAGGGUGAAAACUGAUAGAUUAUUCUGUUGGCUUUAUAAAACAGUAUAAUGUGCCUGUGCAGGAAUGCAUUUACAUCAGAACAUGGCAAAGCUUCAGAUUGUGCUAGAACUAGUGUAAGCAAGGCAGACUAUGCAUUGAGGAAUGGAUGCAGAUAAAUUUGCUUUGAAAGA